GGGCCUGUAGCUCAGCUGGUUAGAGCACCUGCUUUGCAAGCAGGGGGUCAAGGGUUCGAAUCCCUUCAGGUCCACCA
RNAcentral lists this transfer RNA (77 nucleotides) under Candidatus Uhrbacteria bacterium RIFOXYA2_FULL_40_9. RNAcentral describes it as "tRNA-Ala". It matches the Rfam family "tRNA". From Rfam's summary of the family: Transfer RNA (tRNA) molecules are approximately 80 nucleotides in length. Their secondary structure includes four short double-helical elements and three loops (D, anti-codon, and T loops). Lineage: Bacteria; Candidatus Uhriibacteriota. RNAcentral also lists the same sequence under 4 other names. The record is from RNAcentral.